UACGUAGGGUGCGAGCGUUAAUCGGAAUUAUUGGGCGUAAAGCGUGCGCAGGUUGCUUCGCAAGUCAGGCGUGAAAUCCCCGGGCUUAACCCGGGAAUGGCGUCUGAAACUACGGAGCUAGAGUGUGGCAGAGGGAGGUAGAAUUCCACGUGUAGCGGUGAAAUGCGUAGAUAUGUGGAGGAAUACCGAUGGCGAAGGCAGCCACCUGGGCCAACACUGACACUCAUGCACGAAAGCGUGGGGAGCAAACAGG
This 253-nucleotide ribosomal RNA is filed under the name uncultured bacterium. RNAcentral describes it as "partial 16S ribosomal RNA". It matches the Rfam family "Bacterial small subunit ribosomal RNA", at positions 524 to 776 of the family's 1533-position model. The record is from RNAcentral.